Non-coding RNA from Parelaphostrongylus tenuis, 73 nucleotides. The record is from the annotation of a GenBank genome assembly. Lineage: Eukaryota; Metazoa; Nematoda; Chromadorea; Rhabditida; Metastrongylidae.
GCCUCGGUGGUGUGGUGGUAGAGCAUGCGUCUCCGGAUUGGAUAAAACGCGGGUUCGCUUUCCGCCUGAGGCC